GUCCCUGUAAGGCAAUGGAUAGCGCUUUGGAUUUCUCAUUCAAAGGUCGUGGGUUCGAAUCCCACCUGGGAUG
This 73-nucleotide transfer RNA is filed under the name Trichonephila inaurata madagascariensis. It matches the Rfam family "tRNA". Rfam says of the family: Transfer RNA (tRNA) molecules are approximately 80 nucleotides in length. Their secondary structure includes four short double-helical elements and three loops (D, anti-codon, and T loops). The record is from Rfam by way of RNAcentral. Lineage: Eukaryota; Metazoa; Arthropoda; Arachnida; Araneae; Nephilidae.